This is a long non-coding RNA of Pongo pygmaeus (Bornean orangutan), 6650 nucleotides long. RefSeq lists it as uncharacterized. The record is from RefSeq and is a predicted model, not a curated record. NCBI's taxonomy places the organism in Eukaryota, Metazoa, Chordata, Mammalia, Primates, Hominidae. The transcript is spliced from 3 exons.
UGGGUAAUGAACUCCCAAUGCCCUUUUGCAGGGACCUGAGGGACCCCCACCGCCUUGGUGUGCAGACCCGAAAGGUUGUGAAAGUUGUCUCAUGGCGCCACCUGGUGGAAUUUUCGGACAGGAGCAGGAACUCCCUUCCUGCAAAUAUGCUACAAAUGGAUUCUUCUGCCCUCCUGCUCCCGCUUUGAGCUCAGCUGAUCCUGAGAAAUCACUUUCUUCUGACGAAGUGGCUAAAAUCUGGACGCUGUCAGCAAGGGAACAUACAAGCCAACCACAAGUGCCUCCGACAGCGUGUUCCUUUUCCUGUGAUAGUUGUUCUCAACCUAGCCACACCACCAGUUCAUCUGGGCAGCUUUAAAACAUGCAGCCUGCGUUCCAGUUCCAGAGCCAUGAGCCAGCCCUCCUCCAGGUGGGAGCUGCCCUGUCCCUGGGGAGCAGGGUUUGUGGCUCCUUCCCUCUCACAUGCCAGACUGAGUUUCUGAGGGCAGGGAUCAUGCUCAGCUCUUUUUUGUAUUCCCAGUCCCAGACAGAGGCCCUGGCCUUUUGUCAAAACUUGAGGACUGCUCUGCAAACUGCAUGAGAAGGCAUGAGGCACCAGCCCAACUAAAGGGAGGAGGGGACCCCAAAAACAGAGCCCAUUCUUCCUGCCUUGACUGGGUUGGAUCCUGGUGACUGCUCUGUCACCUGUGUACUCAGGGACAUUAUUCUCAAGUUGUAAGUGCAGGCAGCUCUACCCCGCAGCACGUGUGGGAUGAAGAAGGAAGGAAGAAAGAAAGAAAGGAGGGAGGCGGGGAGGGAGGGAGGAGUGAAAGAACCUAGGUCAAUAGUAUAAAUGUAGCCCUGAGCCGGGGGUCCCAAGGCUCCCCGUGACAUCUGCCUGUAUCCCAGCAUCUCUUUAAAUGAAGAAGCAGCCUUCCUUGAAGACCCACCAGGUGGGAACUGCUGCCCACUCCAGAAGCCUGGGGAGGGCUUCUCUCAAGACUGUGGUGUUCGCGCUUCUCUCUUCCCUCCUCUGCUGCACUUGCUUUUCCUUGGAGUCAAGUGACAGGUCAGGCUCAGCCCAGGGUGCAGAGGGUACAGUGACCCUGGGACACGUGGAUGUCGUGGGAGUGACUCAUUGUGGCCUCACAGCUCAGGAAGGGGGUGCACGUGCUGUCUCCUUGCUUCUGCCUUAUUCCAGGGGAGUUAGACUCUUGCCUUUUGCUCCCAAGCCCUUGAGAAACCAGGGCCGGAUCUACUUGGGAUCUAACUACCAGUGCCCUAGUUAUGCAGGAGUUAGAAACUCAAAUGCCCUCAGGGACCAGAUAGGUGCCAGAGAGCCGUGUGAAGCAGCUGGGUCCCAGGCACCAGGGAGGGGUGCGGUCUGUGGAGGACUGGGUGGGGCAGACCCUCCUAAAGGCUUCAUCGCACUGCACAGCACCUUGCGGGGUAAGGCUGCCGCCCCUGCAGCAGGGAUAUUGGUGCUCCUUCUGGCUCAGAGCAGGCCCUGGGGUCUGUGUUCUGGCUCCUCCUCCCCCAGGAGCUGCGUGGACUCAGGGAAUUUAGCCGCUCCACUAAGCCUCAGUUUUCUCUAUAAAUGGGGGAAAUAAUGCCCCCUCUUGGGGUUGACGUGCAGGAAAAGGGGAAGUUUUAUAUUCCUUAUGUAUUCCAUAACAUGUUCUUGAUAUAGCACCUCUAUUUGUUUUCUAUGCCGUGUCACAAGUCACCAAAAAUUUAGCAGCUUCAAACAACACGCAUUUAGUAUCUCACAGUUCCUGGGCAUGGCUUAGCAAGUCCUCUGCAGAGCUGCCAACAGUGCCAGUCAGAGCUGGAUUCUCAUCUGGAGGCUCGACUGGGAAGGGUCCACUUCCAAGCUCCCUAGAAAGAAUAAGCUGCGCUUUCUUGCAGGUAUAGGACUCAUUGCAACUUGUUUCUUCACAGCCAGCAAUGGAGAGAGACUCCAGAGCUAGCUCUAGACAUCCCCUCCCCUUUGCCGUUUUCUGUUGGUUGGAAGCCAGUCACAGGUCCCACUCACCAGGGGAGGGGAUCACAGAAACGCAUGAACACCAGGAGGCUGGGAUCAUGGGGUCAACUUAGGUCCAUCCACCAUAGCACCUGAUAGCUUGAUGGCCACGAUUACAAUUGAUUGGGUGCCUACCAUGUACCAGGCAGGGUGUAGAGGAUUUCACACAUGUUGUCCCAUCUAUUUAAGUUGUUGUAUUGAUAAACUAAGACUCAGAGAGGCAGGCAACUUACCUGAACUCACUCAGCUGUUAAGUGGCAGAAUUUAAACCCAGGUCCCUCUGCUCCCCAUUUCUUGGGUCUUCCUUGGACAUUACACUCAAGGCCACGGUCAGCAUCAAGCUGUCCCUGAGGAGCCCUCCAACACCUUAAGGUACUUGUUUCAGAAGUCACUUAUCUCCCUGGGUUCAAGUCCUUUAACUUGUUCAAUCAGGCCCUGUCCUUGGCUGCUGAGUCUCUGUCUCACCUUCCUUCGGCUCUGUCCUCAGACGUCUCUAGAAAUGGUUCAAGCUUCUUGUCCCUUGAUUUGUCUGUCCAAUGAUUCUUCUGUCUCCUCUCAACUCCUUCCUGCUUUAUCAGCUAAUUCCACAAAUAGCCACUGAGACUCCCUUCUGUAGGAAGGCCCUGUGCUGGGUGCCGCCCUCCAUCUUCCCACAAGGUUCUUACAGUCUAAUGAAGAGGCGGCGUGUGCAACACUAACUCCACUUCAGCAGUUCAGUGAAAACAACACCAUCUUUAGACAAUAGAAAAGUCAUUUUCUCUCUGUAAGUUAGGAGUAGAGAAUACAGAGGGGGCUUAGGUACCUUCACAAGGUGAUCAGGAAUGCAGACCCCUCAUCCAGCAGCUGUGCCUCAUCGUUCAAGAUGGCUGCAGAGCUCCAGCCAUCAUGCUGUCAUUCCCAUCAGCAGGAAGAAGAAAGAGGCGAAGACAAAUCAUCUGUGACCACCCAGACGAGGUUAGAAGCUCCAUGAAAUCUGGCGUCGUGUCUGUCUUCUUUGUUGUUCUAGUUCUGCAGUCCACGGCAGUGCUUGGCAUGUAGUAGGUGCUCCAUAAGUAGUUACUGAUGGAAGGAACACUCAAGAUUGUACUUUAAACAUGCUCUUAAUAUUGGGAUGAGUCAGAGUUGGCCUGGCCCAAAUCUGGAAUCUUCUGAAUUGAGUCUGUGAUGAUGAGUGCUGCUAAGGGCUGUACAUACAUGACCUGGCUUAAUCCUCAGCAGAACCCUGAGAGGAAGAUUCUGCCAUUUUCUUCAACUAGCAAAUGAGAAGACAUCAUGAGAUUGUGGAACUACUAACAGAAAGCUGUGAUUCGAACUUGGCUCUCCAACUCAGAACCUCUAUUCGCUUACCUAGUGACUUUCCAGGACACCAGGGUGACCACAGUCCCCUCUAGACCCCCCUCCUGCAGCCCUGGCUGGCUCCCUUGAUUGCCAGCAGGCAGCUCAGUAGCCAUGUGUUCAGUCACAGGUGCUGAGGAAGCAUCAUACACUUGGCCCCUUGUCCUGAAGUGGGGCUUCGCCUGCAGAAAAUGGAGGAAGGAAGGGCAGGAGGUGCCAGCAUCAACUGGGAGAAUUCCAGUUCUCCAGUGCUCCUCAUCCUCUAGCCGAUUUCCAGGAGCCUUGUGGUCCGGGGGUUCUUUCAGAUUACAGAGGAGGGCAGGUGGGGCUGCUGUGGUCUAGGAGGAGGGUAGGGGCAUGCCUUGCAGUGGGUGCUGUGUGUCCUGUGGCUUCCAUUUCUGCCCGCUUCUUGGCAGGGCCUGCCUGAUAAGGGGGAGAUGAUAGGAAACUGAUACCCGCCUAUGCUGGGCCCCCUUGAACCAUGUGGGGCUUACAGAGCCCCUGGGCCAUGGAGCGGUUCUGAGGGACACUGGAGGAGGGGUUCUAGCUUCUCCCCUCAGACUCCACAGAAUACCCCAGGUAGGGACUAGAUUCUGGCUGGAGUCAAGGCACUCAGAGCUCUGCUGGGCAAUUUGGUCCAAGCCUCUGUUGCACAGAUGGGACACAAGGCCAGUGAGGCAACAGGCUUGCCAAGAUCACACAGCCCAUCAGUGUCAGAGCUGGCGCUGGCUCUCUAAACUGGAUGCGCUCUGUGGCUCCUUUGACUGAACAGUUCAUCUGGCCCACGGGCCAUCCGAAGGGCGUUUGGUGGAGGGUACUAGUUUGACGCCUUGCUUGAAGUUUGACGCCACAGCUCUGCUGUGGAGGUCCUGCUGGGGCCAGCGAUUUCUGGUCAUGGCUGCCAGAAGGUGGCGCUAGGCACCCAGUUGCCACUUAAUUUCCAGAAAAAGAAAAUGGCAACCCGGGGUCUGGGUGUAAUUAGGGCAAGAGGCCAGCUUUAGAGCUCAGCUUCCAAUCACCCUUCCACCCUGGCAUGCUUGUGCAUGGGCACCCAGGGGCAGGGGAGGGACUGGAGAACACACAUUGGGUUCCUCUGGUCCCAGACCCUUUGGAAGGUUGCAGUGUGGGCAGUGAAUGGGUGCCCAGGUGUGCUCCAUUUACACAUCUUGACUAGAUGAUAAUCAGAGAUGGAAUAAAAGCAGCCGGGAUGGAUGGGUGCCUCUCUCCAACAGCGAGACUCAGCCUGGGCCCCAGCUCAGGCCUUUUCACCUGGCUUAGCUCCCUGGCACAUCCCCUCGCUUGGCACAGGGCACUUCGUCCCCUUCUGGGGCAGGGCCAGAGAGCUCAGGAUGCCCCUGAGAGAGGCUGUCUCAUUCCUGGGAACUUCCCCUCCUCCCUUCACCUUUCCUGCGCUCUCUCCAUCUCUCCUUCCUGUCCUCUCCCCUCGCUCAUCUCUCCUGCCCCUUCUUAUCUCUUUCCUCAUGCUCACCUUGUCCCAGUUCCUCCAGGGACCCUGCAGGUCUAGCCCCCACCCCCAACACCUCAUCUGCAGAGGCAAACAGGGACCAAUACCAGUGAGUUUCUAGGAUGUGGUUUCCAUGGUGACGGUACAUCUCCUGCCUCCUUGGUGCUCAGCCCUGAGCAGAUUGCCGUGGAUACUCUCACCUCAUUGAGGAGUGAUUUGUGGGACUGUUUUUCUUCUUUACUUCAUCUUCUCUCCAGACAUUCCGCUAGCCCAGACAGCAUUUUCCACCCUCAUGGCAAACCUGGAAGCCUUCUCCAAAGGGCUUCCCACCCAGGGCCACUGAGGCCUGGAAAGCAUUUUAUUUAUACGAGGUAUUCCUGGUAACCUUCUCCGCCUUUCAUAGGGUGCGUGAGUGGUCACCACAGAGAAACAGGCCAAAGCUGACCCGGUCCCCACCUUUUCUGCCCACAGUGUCCUUCCAGGCCCCUGACUUGUUCCAUGCCGCCAAUGCAUGCCAACCCUGAGAGCUUCUGCUCGGCGGCCAUUUUCCUUAAGAGUCUUUGGAGAAAGAGUGACAGUGAGAGGGUGAGGUGGGAAUAAUGAGCAAAGUGAAUCCAGGCAAAAGAGGUAGGUUAGAAGAGGGAGAAGUACCGGAAAGGUAGGAAUGAGAGGUGGGCAGACUGGGGGAGUUCGAAGGGAGAGGGAGGGGUGGAGGGUGAAAGUUGGUCACCAGAGAAAGCCAACCCAUGAGUCCGCAGCAGGAGUCCUCUGGUGUUAAUGCCCUUUAUAAAUCACUCCGCGGCCCCAAACCCAAAACAGGCCUCUUCUUUCUCUGCCAAGUAGAAAAUGUGUUCGUCGACAUAAAAACGUAUUAAGUACAUUGUGGCCCUCGUUCCCCCCAAGUUGAAAGCCAUUACAAUAAUUAAUUAAGGCAGGAGAUUAAUUAAAGAGUCGUUUCCCCCCAUUCUCCCUGAAUAGAUCAAUCAGGAGGCGGGAGAACAUGUGCUACUCGGCAGACAGAGAAGGGGGGCUGGAGGGGAGGCCGAGGGGCAGCAAGGCAGUUACAGACAGAGCUAGAGACAAAGGACUUCCGUGCUGGGGGCUGGGGGCUGGGGGCUGGGGGCCGGGGCUGAGAGGAGCUGGCAAGGAGGCCCCCAGGAGGGAGAGCUUGCUCUGCUUCCAAGGACCUGUGAUCUGGCUUCCCGUCUUGGUGUUCACAGUGUGAGGGUCGCUGUCACCAUGGAAACAGGCAUGGGGACAGGAGGAAUAUCAGCUCUCUGCUCCUGGACUCCUGGAUUCCCCUCUGGGAGUGAGAGUUCCCAGUGAGCAGAGUUAAGGCCCCAGGAGGCCUUUCUGUGGAGUGGCAUGAGGGUUGGUGGCCUCCUCACUCCAGUGCCAGGCCUAAAACCAACUCCACACGAACAUUGUCAGGCUGAUGACAAGCCUGAAAGUUCUGUUCCUCACAUGUGCCACACUGCAGACAGGACAGGCUAGUAUUAGCUCAGGCUGAGAAUCAUUAGUCUUUUAGGUAACUUUUCUCAUUUUGCUAAAUUUUGAGUUCUUAAUGAUUGCUUUCUCCCUUUCUCUCUCCCUCUCUUUCACUCUCUUUCUUCCUCUUUCUUAUGCCUUUGACCGAUCUAUUUUCCAGCUGAAUUUCAUAUUUCUAAGAAAUGUUUAUAUCAUGUAGUGUGUUUCAUGUGUGCAUAGUGGGUUUAACCCAUUCCACCCUGUAUCUCUGUCUUGCUUACUUUUGAGCCUUCCAGAACUUCCUGAUUGAUUUGUUCAGAAGCACUGCUCUUAUGUUUCUGUAUUUUGUAUGAUAUUUUUCAUAUUUCUAAUAAACAUUAU